RNAcentral lists this ribosomal RNA (440 nucleotides) under uncultured bacterium. RNAcentral's name for it is "bacterial SSU rRNA". It matches the Rfam family "Bacterial small subunit ribosomal RNA", at positions 338 to 770 of the family's 1533-position model. The record is from RNAcentral.
CCUACGGGGGGCAGCAGUGGGGAAUAUUGGACAAUGGGGGCAACCCUGAUCCAGCAAUGCCGCGUGUGUGAAGAAGGCCUGCGGGUUGUAAAGCACUUUUAGUGGGGACGAAAACUUGAGGGCUAACAUCCUUCAAGCUUGACUUAACCCACAGAAAAAGCACCGGCUAACUCUGUGCCAGCAGCCGCGGUAAUACAGAGGGUGCGAGCGUUUAUCGGAAUUACUGGGCGUAAAGGGUGCGUAGGUGGUUUGAUAAGUCAGGUGUGAAAUCCCCGGGCUUAACCUGGGAAUUGCAUUUGAUACUGUCAAACUAGAGUGUGGUAGAGGUAAGCGGAAUUCCCGGUGUAGCGGUGAAAUGCGUAGAUAUCGGGAGGAACAUCAGUGGCGAAGGCGGCUUACUGGACUAACACUGACACUGAGGCACGAAAGCGUGGGUAGCA